Molecule: ribosomal RNA, 429 nt
Filed under: Gemmatimonadota bacterium
Lineage: Bacteria; Pseudomonadati; Gemmatimonadota
Description: Gemmatimonadetes bacterium partial 16S ribosomal RNA
Rfam family: Bacterial small subunit ribosomal RNA
Source: RNAcentral
UAGGGAAUCUUCGGCAAUGGACGAAAGUCUGACCGAGCAACGCCGCGUGAGUGAAGAAGGUUUUCGGAUCGUAAAACUCUGUUGUUAGAGAAGAACAAGGACGUUAGUAACUGAACGUCCCCUGACGGUAUCUAACCAGAAAGCCACGGCUAACUACGUGCCAGCAGCCGCGGUAAUACGUAGGUGGCAAGCGUUGUCCGGAUUUAUUGGGCGUAAAGCGAGCGCAGGCGGUUUCUUAAGUCUGAUGUGAAAGCCCCCGGCUCAACCGGGGAGGGUCAUUGGAAACUGGGAGACUUGAGUGCAGAAGAGGAGAGUGGAAUUCCAUGUGUAGCGGUGAAAUGCGUAGAUAUAUGGAGGAACACCAGUAGCGAAGGCGGCUCUCUGGUCUGUAACUGACGCUGAGGCUCGAAAGCGUGGGGAGCAAACAGG